ACACGUGACUUCAUAGUUUAUGAUUUUGCACGAAAUGUUUCGCGCUAUGAAGGCUGUGUGUUGUUGAAGCUGAAUUAUCGCUAUAGCUAGGUGUACCAACUGUAAGUUUACAUUUUUGUUAAUAUAGCUUUGCUCAUAAUAGUAAAGUAUGUUUUGGUAGGGUUAUUUUAAUAUUUGUAAAGUCUGAAAAUAUUUAUUUUAAUAGAAUAAGUUCAGCAUGUUUUGUUGAUAAACGUUCCAUAUCAUAUUGGCUAUUCAUUUUAUUUCUAGUGAUGUUUAAUAGACUUUUGUUAUGAAGAAGUUUAAAUUUAUUUUACGAGAUAUACUUUUGCUAUUGUUUACAACUAUAAUUAGAGGUAACAUAGGUAUAUUGAUUUUUGGUUACAAUAGGUUAUACAGUAUCACUGUGGUCGACGGUGACCUUGACCUGAGUUUAUGCAUUGAGGCCCUAGUUGGGCACACUGUCAUUACUGCCAAUAUCAUUACCAUUAUCAUAAUU
This is a long non-coding RNA of Saccostrea cuccullata (small rock oyster), 499 nucleotides long. RefSeq lists it as uncharacterized. The record is from RefSeq and is a predicted model, not a curated record. The transcript has 2 exons. Lineage: Eukaryota; Metazoa; Mollusca; Bivalvia; Ostreida; Ostreidae.